This 519-nucleotide ribosomal RNA is filed under the name Amphioctopus membranaceus. RNAcentral describes it as "partial 16S rRNA". It matches the Rfam family "Bacterial large subunit ribosomal RNA", at positions 1810 to 2605 of the family's 2925-position model. Lineage: Eukaryota; Metazoa; Mollusca; Cephalopoda; Octopoda; Octopodidae. The record is from RNAcentral.
AAAACAUGUCUCUUUGAGUUUUUUUAAUAAAGAGUUGGGCCUGCUCGGUGAUUAAUAUUUAACAGCUGCGGUAUUAUAACUGUACUAAGGUAGCAUAAUAAUUUGCCUUAUAAAUUAGGGCUAGAAUGAAUGGUUUGACGAAAAUUAUACUGUCUCUAUUUUAUUCAUUAGAAGUUAAUUUUUAUAGUGAGAAAGCUUGAAUGAUUUAAAGGGACGAAAAGACCCUAUUGAGCUUUAUAUUAUAUUUUAAAUUUUAUUUUUUAUUUGUAUAUAAUUUUGGUUGGGGUGAUCAAGGAAUAAAUUAUAUUUUAUGUUAACUUCCUUAAAUGGUGAUAUAUAUAAAUAAAUAAACCAAAUUUUUUGCUUAUAAGAUAAGUUACCAUAGGGAUAACAGCGUAAUUUUUUUUGAAAGUUCAUAUUGAAAAAAGAGAUUGCGACCUCGAUGUUGGAUUAAAAUAACCUUAAGGUGAAGAGGCUUUAAUUGGUAAAUCUGUUCGAUUUUUAAAAUUUUACGUGAUC